Molecule: ribosomal RNA, 485 nt
Filed under: uncultured bacterium
Lineage: Bacteria
Description: partial 16S ribosomal RNA
Rfam family: Bacterial small subunit ribosomal RNA
Source: RNAcentral
UUGAACGCUGGCGGCAUGCCUUACACAUGCAAGUCGAACGGCAGCACGGGUGCUUGCACCUGGUGGCGAGUGGCGAGCGGGUGAGUAAUACAUCGGAACAUGUCCUGUAGUGGGGGAUAGCCCGGCGAAAGCCGGAUUAAUACCGCAUACGAUCUACGGAUGAAAGCGGGGGACCUUCGGGCCUCGCGCUAUAGGGUUGGCCGAUGGCUGAUUAGCUAGUUGGUGGGGUAAAGGCCUACCAAGGCGACGAUCAGUAGCUGGUCUGAGAGGACGACCAGCCACACUGGGACUGAGACACGGCCCAGACUCCUACGGGAGGCAGCAGUGGGGAAUUUUGGACAAUGGGCGAAAGCCUGAUCCAGCAAUGCCGCGUGUGUGAAGAAGGCCUUCGGGUUGUAAAGCACUUUUGUCCGGAAAGAAAUCCUUGGCCCUAAUACGGUCGGGGGAUGACGGUACCGGAAGAAUAAGCACCGGCUAACUACGUG